UGCAGUCGAACGAAGUAGCAAUACUUAGUGGCGAACGGGUGAGUAUAAUGUGGGUAUCUGCCUUUUGGUUUGGAAUAACACGGGGAAACUUGUGCUAAUACCGGAUAAGCCUUUACAGGGAAAGUUUUAACGCCAAAAGAUGAGCCCGCACUUGAUUAGCUAGUUGGUAAGGUAAUGGCUUACCAAGGCAACGAUCAAUAGCUGAUCUGAGAGGAUGAUCAGCCACAUUGGGACUGAGACACGGCCCAAACUCCUACGGGAGGCAGCAGUGGGGAAUCUUGCACAAUGGGGGAAACCCUGAUGCAGCGAUGCCGCGUGAGUGAAGAAGGCCCUUGGGUUGUAAAGCUCUUUCGUCGGGGAAGAAAAUGACUGUACCCGAAUAAGAAGGUCCGGCUAACUUCGUGCCAGCAGCCGCGGUAAUACGAAGGGACCUAGCGUAGUUCGGAAUUACUGGGCUUAAAGAGCUCGUAGGUGGUUAGAAAAGUUGGUGGUGAAAUCCCAAGGCUUAACCUUGGAACUGCCGCCAAAACUUUUUGACUAGAGUAUGAUAGAGGAAAGUGGAAUUUCUAGUGUAGAGGUGAAAUUCGUAGAUAUUAGAAAGAACACCAAUUGCGAAGGCAGCUUUCUGGAUCAUUACUGACACUGAGGAGCGAAAGCAUGGGUAGCGAAGAGGAUUAGAUACCCUCGUAGUCCAUGCCGUAAACGAUGUGUGCUAGACGUUGGAAAUUUAGUUUUCAGUGUCGCAGCAAAAGCGUUAAGCACACCGCCUGGGGAGUACGACCGCAAGGUUAAAACUCAAAUGAAUUGACGGGGA
RNAcentral lists this ribosomal RNA (814 nucleotides) under uncultured marine bacterium. RNAcentral describes it as "bacterial SSU rRNA". It matches the Rfam family "Bacterial small subunit ribosomal RNA", at positions 56 to 919 of the family's 1533-position model. The record is from RNAcentral.